Flavobacterium sp. 40-81 is the source of this 33-nucleotide non-coding RNA. The record is from Rfam. NCBI's taxonomy places the organism in Bacteria, Pseudomonadati, Bacteroidota, Flavobacteriia, Flavobacteriales, Flavobacteriaceae.
UAAGCGGAACCCGAAAAGCUUACAGAGUAGGGA